This 3113-nucleotide long non-coding RNA is filed under the name Zea mays. RNAcentral describes it as "long non-coding RNA (ZMAY_LNC004183)". Lineage: Eukaryota; Viridiplantae; Streptophyta; Magnoliopsida; Poales; Poaceae. The record is from RNAcentral.
AGUUUUAGUUGCUUCACUUGGUGUCUUAGCGGUUCGUGUUUGUAAGUCUAAGCUCCUCUUCCCAGCCACCAACUCGAUCUGCCCUAGUCUUCCCAUCUCCUACUUAAGUCAUGGUCCAGUAGGCCGUGCAGUCCUAGAGCUCGAGUGAUCUCCUUGGCUGUUGUAGCCUAUGUUUCCCCGGAGUUAAUCCCCUCCCAAUAUCUUGGUCCAUCUGCCCAGAGCUUGGUGUACCAGUCCCUAGGUGGUGACCAUCGUCGGCAGUUAGUCCACCUCGUCGUGACCAGGUAACUUCAAGGGUUUCCUCAGUCGAGUUGUGCAUAUUUUAUGCUCUGCAUAAGAUAGAGAAGCUCAUAUGAUGGUAAACCAUUCUCCUUAAGUAGGUUUGGUUUGGGGGUGUGUAUGGAAAAUAGAGUGAAAGCUGCCCAAAAAUGAACUGUGAGUUUGCACUGACUGAAUUUUUGUUCAGAUUAGCUGAAAACUGGAUUGCAGCAGAUUGCUCAGUUUGGAGCUCUCCUAUGACCAGUUCAUGAGGUUUUGGGUUACCAGUUGUAUAGAAAAGUCAAAGACCAGAUGAAGGUGAACAAGCUUCAUCAGAGGAGUGGGGCUUACUACUGUGUAAAAUAUGGAGAAAUAUGUGCUGCAAUUUUCUAUGUCAUGUGUUGUGUUCAGGUCUUUUUCAAUUAGCUAAAAUUUAGCCUUUGCGUUUCCACCUCAAGUUUGGUGCUAUGUAACUUGAGAUCUGUUUAGGGUUAGCUAGUAGCUGUUGUAACAAAGAUGGAGAGAGAUUAUAGAGGAACCAUUCAUAGUAAGGAAAUACAUUGAGCCCUCAUAUGGAAUUGCGAGAAAAUAGUGUUACAAAACCCUCUGUCAGACUUGGAGUGGGUUGUUUCAGCUAACUGAAAACCUGUUCAGGGUGUUGUUUAGUCAACUUUGGAGCUCUGUGGUAAUUAAUAAAACCAGAAUUGGGUUAAGAGUUUUACAGAAAUGUGAAAUACCAAGUGUAGGAGAACCAGUUUUAUACAGGUAGAUUGGCUUGUUAAUUUUAGGAAUUUAGAGAAAAGCCUGUUGCAAAACUCUCUGUCAGACAUGGUAAGGUGCUGUUUCAGAUCGAGGAACUGAACUUUUCAGUGUUUUGCUCUAACUUUUGUGCACCAUAGCUACUGUUCUAAGUAUUUUCAGCUUAGGGGUUUUAUACCAAAUGGGAAGGGCUAUAGUAGGAGAGUAAUAUUGGUUCACAAAGGUUGGUUGGUUGUUGAGAAGAAUUGUUAGAUAUCUGGGCUUGAACAAAGAAGAAAGCAACAGGGAGUAGUAUUGCUAACGGACUGUAUUCAGUUAACUGAGAUCUGGAAUUUCACUGUUGGUGCUCAGUUUGGAGCUCUUUGGUGACCAAAUCAUGGGGUUUUAGGAUAGGAGUUCCAUAACAAAGUGAAUUGUGGCUGAUUCUUGGACACUAUAACUUGUAGUGCAUGCAGUUUGGAUCCUUGCUUAAGGCAUAAAUGAAGUGCUUGGUUGGUUAUGGAGGCAAGGUUUCCUAGUUUAGUUGGUGAAUUGAGUUGUGAUAUUAGAGUAUUUAGUUCUCUUAAGGUUUUAUUAGUUUUUGUGUGCACGUUUAGAAAGGUGUAAGUCUUGUGAUGCUUUUUAGUAUUUUCUUUUCAAGUUGCAUCAGCAUAAGCAUUCAUGUUCAUAUCUUUACAUGUAGAAUUCCCAGAAGAAGAAGAUGAAAUUCAAGAAGUGGUUUCUGAAGAGGAGUCUGCUUUAGUGCCUGCUCAUCAAGUGAUGGGAGCCAUCUAACUGGGGUUUAAUAGAGGGAUUUAGACCUCCGUCUCUGCAACAAAGGCAAGCCCCGGUGCAUUUGCCACCUUCCUUGUAUUACAAAAUUUUAUCACUUAUAUGCUGCAUUAGGUAAUAGGAGUUGAAUGAUUAAACACUUGAUGUAUAACCAUCCUUGAAAGAUUGAUUAUCAUACCUUGUUACCUGUUUUAUAAAAACUAGUAAUGCUUAGUUAUGCUUAUAGAUUAAGAAAAAUGUUUUUGAUCUAUGACUCAUGAUUUUUAAAAAGAAAAAGGGCUUGGGAUGAUGGAGACAUCCUCCGCGGGGAUGAAUUCAUCAUUCAAGCAGGGUACCUCUGCCAGGUAUCAAAUUUUGAGAAUUUGUUUAAAAUGAGACCAUACGUUGAGCUGGACAGGUCGCCCGUCUGUGUCGAUUAAGGACCGUACCGAUUGUAGGCCUGUUGAUAUAGGACCUUUUAACUGGCCACAUACCUCGUCAUGGGUAAGCCUGCACCCGGCUACUCCAUAUGUGAAAAGACAAUCGUGCACUGGGAGUGGAGAGAUGGCGGGAGUGGCGUGUACCCACCUAGCACGUGGCUGGAUGGUGGAGUACUGUACUCUCGGGUGGCGCGGACCGGUUCACGUAGUGGAGGACCCGUGGGAAUGGUAGCCAUAUGCAAGGGUUAAGUGCUACAUAUGUCGUGUGGCUGGAGAUCCCCAGCUGGGUAUUAAUCGAUUCAGAUCGCCGUUACUUCUCGGAUAUGAAGACUGGAUCGCUGCCCUUCAUCGUAGAUAACAAGCGAAACAAAAUUUGGAUUUUAAAAGCAACCUAGUGUAGGUCAAGUAAAUGAUCUAGAUUAGGAAAAUGCUAGAUUCAGGCUAGAAGAUUCAGGUAAUAAACUAACUUGUGAAAUAAAACUUGGCUUAAGGACCCACUUCUAGUAAGCUUUUCUGCAAAAUGAGUCCUUGAACUUUGAUGAGUUUUACCUUGAUUCCCAAAAGCCAGCAUACCCUUGAGAAUCUUUUCUUUAGUCGGGUAAGUCUUGCUGAGUAAUUGCGUACUCAGGGUUUUAUCCCUUGUUGUUUUUGUAGGAGAAGUUUUAUUCCCUUAUCUUUGGGUUAGUUACUUCAUGUGGAGGACUUGAAGCUUAGAAUGUUUUUAUAUAUCUCUUAUGGAAAGGCUUCACCCUUCCAAUUAUUGUAAUAAGUUAUGCACUUCGAGUACUAUCAGGACUUGUAAUAAAUACAUCUCUUUCUACCAUGUAAAACUUGAGUUCUGGAAUGUAAAGUGUACUUUGUAAAAGUCUUCCGCUCUAUCUUCAAUGUGUGUGUAUCAAAUGUGAU